ACAACUAUUUCAGUACCAAAACGUCUGAACAGGUGAAUCCUGGAUCAGCCUAGAUGAUAUUUCACCGGAUUAUUUAUAGUAUGAAUAAUUCUAUACUGAGUAACCGGGUUCCCUGGAUCAGCUGAGAUGUUGUUUUUCCUGAAUUAUUUAAUGGAUAUAGGCUUAUUGGGCAUAUAAUUGGAUAUCUGUCCUCAACAUGGAAGAUAUGGUUUAUUCCUACCCAUCUAUAAUCAAUUCUCUAUGAAGUUCAGCCUGUCUGCCCUUCCUUUAGAAAUACACAGUCAGUCAACCAACAUAGAAACAAACUUGAAGGGAAAGAAUACUACAACGUGGCUCCUCAGGAUCAACAGUGAAAAAUCUUAAUCAAUAAUGACCCUCCUGACUAUGUUUACAGGCUGUAACCUUUAUUGCUGAUGUAAGAUGAUCUGAUUGCAUGGCAUUAAAAUUUCCUGGUGUUUCUACCAUCCAGGAUCUUCUUAUGAGUGCAUGGGAACUGCUGUGGACCUUAACCUGUUUAUAAAAAUAUACCUUCGAGCAUGACAUAUUAUUCAUGUAAGGAUUCUCAAAGGGGAACUCAGUAAAUUAUGCACAGACUAACAGAAUACAGUAUAUCCUCUCCUAGAACACUGAUACAAGAAAAUAAAACCAGAGAUGGAUGGAGGACUCAAGAAGCACAUGAAUAAAUAUGAUUUCAAACUAUGAUGAUCAUGAAUUGUGGUUCACAGGAUAAGAAAGAAAGGACCCAGGAUUGUGCAUUUUUCUAGAUCCUCUCCCAUUCAUAUCCUUCAUAUGCUGGCAUACAAAACAAUAGAUAAAUUGUAGUCAUUUAACAGACUGAAGUUUAAUCAAAUCAAAGUAUUGAAAAUGUGUUUUUCUGAUAGUAUGAGAUCUUCAAAAAAUAAUUCUCACAGAUUUCAAAGUAUCUAAAUAUAACUUUUAAUUUAUGUAGUACAAAUUGAAAACAGUUGUUAUAUAUGACUUUAAUACAUUGAAUCCUUAAUUUUCAUCUUAUAUCUACAACACCCCUAGAAAAUACACAGAUAUUCAGAAGCUAGCUUUGGUGUAUUUAUUACUUUCCUUGAAUUGUAAAAGCAUUUUGUUUGUGUAUGUAUCAUGUCCUAUUUUGAAUUUAAGAUAGGUCUCAAUAAGAUCCCCUAUAAAGAUGCAAGUGUCCCAUAAUCUGUGAUUUAAUAAUAUCUUGAAUAUCUUUAUCAUCCAUCAUACUUAUUACAUAUGGAAAGAUUGAAGGUAUACAUUUGUUUUUUAAGACAUUUUGCCAAGGUCAAAGCAUGAGAUUAUUGAGAUGAUUACUUUGACAU
Long non-coding RNA from Saccostrea cuccullata (small rock oyster), 1319 nucleotides. RefSeq lists it as uncharacterized. NCBI's taxonomy places the organism in Eukaryota, Metazoa, Mollusca, Bivalvia, Ostreida, Ostreidae. The record is from RefSeq and is a predicted model, not a curated record. The transcript has 5 exons.